RNAcentral lists this ribosomal RNA (357 nucleotides) under Triticum aestivum (bread wheat). RNAcentral's name for it is "partial small subunit ribosomal RNA". The record is from RNAcentral. Lineage: Eukaryota; Viridiplantae; Streptophyta; Magnoliopsida; Poales; Poaceae.
AUGUGUCCUAGACAGACCCAUAUCUUCCGGGGCCCGAUCGUAUUCGCAACCUUGUAUCGCGUGCAGGAGGGUUUGACAGUCCGAUUCCACCAGUAUGUUGGAGAUCCCCCGUGCUGCGGCAGCCGACAGUGCGUGGAGGCAUGCCUCAGCUUCGGUCUGGAUAGCACUGAUUGCAUGUCGAAUCUUCCCACCACCCGCCCCAACUGCAUCUCCAGUAUUAUCACGAAUUACAAACCCCCAUCCUCCAGACCCUGCAGUACUAUGAAACGCCCCGUCCACAUUGAUUUUCAACUGAUCCCCGUCAGGCCUUGUCCGUCUGCCUGCCGGUCUCGGUCUGGCAGCCUGCACCGUCACUGA